RNAcentral lists this ribosomal RNA (477 nucleotides) under uncultured bacterium. RNAcentral describes it as "bacterial SSU rRNA". It matches the Rfam family "Bacterial small subunit ribosomal RNA", at positions 29 to 508 of the family's 1533-position model. The record is from RNAcentral.
AGCGAACGUUUGCGGCGGGCCUAACACAUGCAAGUCGAACGCACUAGCAAUAGUGAGUGGCGCACGGGUGCGUAACACGUGGGUAAUCAACCCUUCAGCCUGGGAUAACGACUCGAAAGGGUCGCUAAUACCGGAUACGGCGCGAGAGGCUUCGGCUUCUCACGAGAAAGCCACGCAAGGGGCACUGAAGGACGAGCCUGCGGCCCAUCAGCUAGUUGGUGAGGUAAGAGCUCACCAAGGCUAAGACGGGUAGCUGGUCUGAGAGGAUGAUCAGCCACACUGGAACUGAGACACGGUCCAGACUCCUACGGGAGGCAGCAGUGGGGAAUAUUGCGCAAUGGGCGAAAGCCUGACGCAGCCACGCCGCGUGAGCGAUGAAGGCCUGGUCGUAAGGACUCUGUGGGAGAGACGAAGAAAGACCUGUGAAGAGCAGGCCUUGACGGUAGUCUCCUUAGCAAGCACCGGCGUAACUACCGU